UCAAACUUAACGUGUUUCCUC
RNAcentral lists this non-coding RNA (21 nucleotides) under Caenorhabditis elegans. Lineage: Eukaryota; Metazoa; Nematoda; Chromadorea; Rhabditida; Rhabditidae. The record is from RNAcentral.